CUAGAGAUAGAAAGUUACUUCGGUACAUCGGUGACAGGUGGUGCAUGGUUGUCGUCAGCUCGUGUCGUGAGAUGUUGGGUUAAGUCCCGCAACGAGCGCAACCCCUAUUGUUAGUUGCCAUCAUUCAGUUGGGCACUCUAGCGAGACUGCCGGUAAUAAACCGGAGGAAGUGGGAUGACGUCAAAUCAUCAUGCCCCUUAUGACCUGGGCUACACACGUGCUACAAUGGUUGGUACAACGAGUUGCGAGUCGGUGACGGCGAGCUAAUCUCUUAAAGCCAAUCUCAGUUCGGAUUGUAGGCUGCAACUCGCCUACAUGAAGUCGGAAUCGCUAGUAAUCGCGGAUCAGCACGCCCGCGGUCCGAAUACGUUCCGGGCCUU
This 380-nucleotide ribosomal RNA is filed under the name uncultured Streptococcus sp. RNAcentral describes it as "bacterial SSU rRNA". It matches the Rfam family "Bacterial small subunit ribosomal RNA", at positions 1000 to 1382 of the family's 1533-position model. The record is from RNAcentral. Lineage: Bacteria; Bacillati; Bacillota; Bacilli; Lactobacillales; Streptococcaceae.